AGGGGAAUAUUGGACAAUGGGCGCAAGCCUGAACCAGCCAUGCCGCGUGAGUGAUGAAGGCCCUAGGGUUGUAAAGCUCUUUCACCGGUGAAGAUAAUGACGGUAACCGUAGAAGAAGCCGCGGCUAACUUCGUGCCAGCAGCCGCGGUAAUACGAAGGGGGCUAGCGUUGUUCGGAUUUACUGGGCGUAAAGCGCACGUAGGCGGACUAUUAAGUCAGGGGUGAAAUCCCGGGGCUCAACCCCGGAACUGCCUUGGAUACUGGUGGUCUUGAGUUCGAGAGCGGUGAGUGGAAUUCCGAGUGUAGAAGUGAAAUUCGUAGAUAUUCGGAGGAACACCAGUGGCGAACGCGGCUCACUGGCUCGAUACUGACGCUGAGGUGCGAAAGCGUGGGGAGCAAACAGG
Molecule: ribosomal RNA, 404 nt
Filed under: Actinomycetes bacterium
Lineage: Bacteria; Bacillati; Actinomycetota; Actinomycetes
Description: Actinobacteria bacterium partial 16S ribosomal RNA
Rfam family: Bacterial small subunit ribosomal RNA
Source: RNAcentral